Suricata suricatta (meerkat) is the source of this 437-nucleotide non-coding RNA. Lineage: Eukaryota; Metazoa; Chordata; Mammalia; Carnivora; Herpestidae. The record is from the annotation of a RefSeq genome assembly.
AGAAAGGGAGAAAGAGCUAUCUAUCUGAAAAAGGUGUAAUAUGAGGCCAAUAUCUGAAGAUGCUGAUGCUUCUGCUGCUCCUGGGGCCCAGUUCCGGGCUUGGUGCCCUUGUCUCUCAAGAUCCAAGAACAGCGGUCCGUAGGAGCGGAACCUCUGUGCUGAUCCAAUGCCGUUCAGUGGACCUUCAAGCCACAACUGUGUUUUGGUAUCGUCAGUUCCCGGAACAGGGCCUCACGCUGAUGGCAACGUCUAACGUGGGCUCCAAACCUGCGUUCGAACAAGGUUUCUCUGAUGCCAAGCUCUCCAUUAGCCACCCGAACACCUCGUUUUCGUCUCUGACGGUGAUGAGUGUGAAGCCUGCAGACAGCAGCCUCUACUUCUGCGGUGCUAGUAACACAGCGCUGGGUGGAGACCAGAGACCCAGACAAGAACCCUGA